GACGAACGCUGGCGGCGUGCUUAACACAUGCAAGUCGAACGGUGAAGGUGGAGCUUGCUCCGCCGGAUCAGUGGCGAACGGGUGAGUAACACGUGGGCAACCUGCCCCUCACUUCGGGAUAACUCCGGGAAACCGGGGCUAAUACCGAAUACGACCUCCUUGGGCAUCCCGGGAGGUGGAAAGUUUUUCGGUGAGGGAUGGGCCCGCGGCCUAUCAGCUUGUUGGUGAGGUAACGGCUCACCAAGGCGACGACGGGUAGCCGGCCUGAGAGGGCGACGGGGCACACGGGGACUGAGACACGGCCCAGACUCCGACGGGAGGCAGCAGUGGGGAAUAUGGCGCAAUGGGCGAAAGCCUGACGCAGCAACGCCGCGUGCGGGAUGAAGGCCUUCGGGUUGUAAGCCGCUUUCAGCAGGGAAGAAGCCGCAAGGUGACGGUACCUGCAGAAGAAGCACCGGCUAACUACGUGCCAGCCGCCGCAGUAA
This 485-nucleotide ribosomal RNA is filed under the name uncultured bacterium. RNAcentral's name for it is "partial 16S ribosomal RNA". It matches the Rfam family "Bacterial small subunit ribosomal RNA", at positions 28 to 523 of the family's 1533-position model. The record is from RNAcentral.